This 168-nucleotide ribosomal RNA is filed under the name Eviota sp. KAUM:I:101384. RNAcentral describes it as "partial 12S rRNA". The record is from RNAcentral. Lineage: Eukaryota; Metazoa; Chordata; Actinopteri; Gobiiformes; Gobiidae.
CACCGCGGUUAUACGAGGGGCCCAAGUUGAUUGCGCCUCGGCGUAAAGGGUGGUUAGUGAAUCUUAAACUAAAGCCGAACACCCUCAGGGCUGUUAUAAGCCUCUGAGGAAAGGAAGCCCUCCCACGAAAGUGGCUUUAAUCUCUAUGACCCCACGAAAGCUAGGAUA